GCCUGGCUGGCUCAGUCGGUGGAGCAUGUGACUCUUGAUCUCGGGGUUGUGAGUUCGAGCCCCAUGUUGGGUG
RNAcentral lists this transfer RNA (73 nucleotides) under Felis catus (domestic cat). It matches the Rfam family "tRNA". From Rfam's summary of the family: Transfer RNA (tRNA) molecules are approximately 80 nucleotides in length. Their secondary structure includes four short double-helical elements and three loops (D, anti-codon, and T loops). Further hydrogen bonds mediate the characteristic L-shaped molecular structure. tRNAs have two regions of fundamental functional importance: the anti-codon, which is responsible for specific mRNA codon recognition, and the 3' end, to which the tRNAs corresponding amino acid is attached (by aminoacyl-tRNA synthetases). tRNAs cope with the degeneracy of the genetic code in two manners: having more than one tRNA (with a specific anti-codon) for a particular amino acid; and 'wobble' base-pairing, i.e. permitting non-standard base-pairing at the 3rd anti-codon position. Lineage: Eukaryota; Metazoa; Chordata; Mammalia; Carnivora; Felidae. The record is from Rfam by way of RNAcentral. RNAcentral also lists the same sequence under 6 other names.